GACGAACGCUGGCGGCGUGCUUAACACAUGCAAGUCGAACGGAAAGGCCCUGCUUUUGUGGGGUGCUCGAGUGGCGAACGGGUGAGUAACACGUGAGUAACCUGCCCUUGACUUUGGGAUAACUUCAGGAAACUGGGGCUAAUACCGGAUAGGAGCUCCUGCUGCAUGGUGGGGGUUGGAAAGUUUCGGCGGUUGGGGAUGGACUCGCGGCUUAUCAGCUUGUUGGUGGGGUAGUGGCUUACCAAGGCUUUGACGGGUAGCCGGCCUGAGAGGGUGACCGGCCACAGUGGGACUGAGAUACGGCCCAGACACCUACGGGAGGCAGCAGUGGGGAAUAUUGCACAAGGGGCGGAAGCCGGAUGCAGCAACGCCGCGGGCGGGAUGACGGCCUUCGGGUUGUAAACCGCUUUCGCAUGUGACGAAGCGUGAGUGACGGUAAUGGGUAAAGAAGCACCGGCUAACUACGUGC
This 469-nucleotide ribosomal RNA is filed under the name uncultured bacterium. Its description in RNAcentral is "partial 16S ribosomal RNA". It matches the Rfam family "Bacterial small subunit ribosomal RNA", at positions 28 to 508 of the family's 1533-position model. The record is from RNAcentral.